Molecule: ribosomal RNA, 224 nt
Filed under: uncultured Thorsellia sp.
Lineage: Bacteria; Pseudomonadati; Pseudomonadota; Gammaproteobacteria; Enterobacterales; Thorselliaceae
Description: partial 16S ribosomal RNA
Rfam family: Bacterial small subunit ribosomal RNA
Source: RNAcentral
AGCGUAGGCGGUUUGACAAGCCAGAGGUGAAAGGCAAUAGCUUAACUAUUGUAAGCCUUUGGAACUGUCGAACUUGAGUGCAGGAGAGGAAAGUGGAAUUCCUAGUGUAGCGGUGAAAUGCGUAGAGAUCUGGAGGAAUACCGAUUGCGAAGGCAGCCCCCUGGACAGUGACUGACGCUCAUAUGCGAAAGCGUGGGGAUCAAACAGGAUUAGAUACCCCCGUA